AGUGAACGCUGGCGGUAGGCCUAACACGUGCAAGUCGAACGGCAGCACAGUAAGAGCUUGCUCUUACGGGUGGCGAGUGGCGGACGGGUGAGGAAUACAUCGGAAUCUACUUUUUCGUGGGGGAUAACGUAGGGAAACUUACGCUAAUACCGCAUACGACCUACGGGUGAAAGCAGGGGAUCUUCGCACCUUGCGCGAUUGAAUGAGCCGAUGUCGGAUUAGCUAGUUGGCGGGGUAAAGGCCCACCAAGGCGACGAUCCGUAGCUGGUCUGAGAGGAUGAUCAGCCACACUGGAACUGAGACACGGUCCAGACUCCUACGGGAGGCAGCAGUGGGGAAUAUUGGACAAUGGGCGCAAGCCUGAUCCAGCCAUACCGCGUGGGUGAAGAAGGCCUUCGGGUUGUAAAGCCCUUUUGUUGGGAAAGAAAAGCAGCAGGUUAAUACCCCGCUGUUCUGACGGUACCCAAAGAAUAAGCAACGGCUAACUUCGUG
RNAcentral lists this ribosomal RNA (492 nucleotides) under uncultured bacterium. RNAcentral's name for it is "partial 16S ribosomal RNA". It matches the Rfam family "Bacterial small subunit ribosomal RNA", at positions 29 to 507 of the family's 1533-position model. The record is from RNAcentral.